AGUGAACGCUGGCGGCAGGCUUAACACAUGCAAGUCGAGCGGGCAGCUUCGGAUGUCAGCGGCAGACGGGUGAGUAACACGUGGGAACGUACCCUUCGGUUCGGAACAACUCUGGGAAACUGGAGCUAAUACCGGAUACGCCCUUAUGGGGAAAGGUUUACUGCCGAAGGAUCGGCUCGCGUCUGAUUAGCUAGUUGGUGGGGUAACGGCCUACCAAGGCGCCGAUCAGUAGCUGGUCUGAGAGGAUGAUCAGCCACACUGGUGCUGAGGCACGGCCCAGACUCCUACGGGAGGCAGCAGUGGGGAAUAUUGGACAAUGGGCGCAAGCCUGAUCGAGCCAUGCCGCGUGAGUGAUGAAGGCCUUAGGGUUGUAAAGCUCUUUUGUCCGGGACGAUAAUGACGGUACCGGAAGAAUAAGCCCCGGCUAACUUCGUG
RNAcentral lists this ribosomal RNA (435 nucleotides) under uncultured bacterium. RNAcentral's name for it is "partial 16S ribosomal RNA". It matches the Rfam family "Bacterial small subunit ribosomal RNA", at positions 29 to 507 of the family's 1533-position model. The record is from RNAcentral.